RNAcentral lists this ribosomal RNA (572 nucleotides) under uncultured bacterium. RNAcentral describes it as "partial 16S ribosomal RNA". It matches the Rfam family "Bacterial small subunit ribosomal RNA", at positions 355 to 918 of the family's 1533-position model. The record is from RNAcentral.
UGGGGAAUUUUGGACAAUGGGCGAAAGCCUGAUCUAGCAAUGCCGCGUGUGUGAAGAAGGCCUUCGGGUUGUAAAGCACUUUUGUCCGGAAAGAAAUCCUUGGCUCUAAUACAGUCGGGGGAUGACGGUACCGGAAGAAUAAGCACCGGCUAACUACGUGCCAGCAGCCGCGGUAAUACGUAGGGUGCAAGCGUUAAUCGGAAUUACUGGGCGUAAAGCGUGCGCAGGCGGUUUGCUAAGACCGAUGUGAAAUCCCCGGGCUCAACCUGGGAACUGCAUUGGUGACUGGCAGGCUAGAGUAUGGCAGAGGGGGGUAGAAUUCCACGUGUAGCAGUGAAAUGCGUAGAGAUGUGGAGGAAUACCGAUGGCGAAGGCAGCCCCCUGGGCCAAUACUGACGCUCAUGCACGAAAGCGUGGGGAGCAAAACAGGAUUCAGAUACCCUGGUAGUCCACGCCCUAAACGAUGUCAACUAGUUGUUGGGGAUUCAUUUCCUUAGUAACGUAGCUAACGCGUGAAGUUGACCGCCUGGGGAGUACGGUCGCAAGAUUAAAACUCAAAGGAAUUGACGGGG